UUUUUAUUUGGCAGUACAUAUACUAAAAUUGGAACGAUACGGAGAAAACUAGCAUGGCCCCUGCGCAAGGAUGACACGCAAAUUCGUGAAGCGUUCCAUAUUUUC
Molecule: small nuclear RNA, 105 nt
Filed under: Octopus bimaculoides (California two-spot octopus)
Lineage: Eukaryota; Metazoa; Mollusca; Cephalopoda; Octopoda; Octopodidae
Source: RNAcentral